Molecule: ribosomal RNA, 410 nt
Filed under: uncultured Methylomirabilota bacterium
Lineage: Bacteria; Methylomirabilota (SeqCode)
Description: bacterial SSU rRNA
Rfam family: Bacterial small subunit ribosomal RNA
Source: RNAcentral
AACGUGGAGACAGGUGGUGCAUGGCUGUCGUCAGCUCGUGUCGUGAGAUGUUGGGUUAAGUCCCGCAACGAGCGCAACCCUCACCCCUUGUUGCUACCAGGUAAAGCUGGGCACUCUAGGGGAACUGCCCCGGUCAACGGGGAGGAAGGCGGGGAUGACGUCAAGUCAUCAUGCCCCUUACGUCCUGGGCUACACACGUGCUACAAUGGCCGGUACAAAGGGAUGCCACACCGUGAGGUAGAGCUAAACCCAAAAAGCCGGUCUAAGUUCAGAUUGGAGUCUGCAACUCGACUCCAUGAAGGAGGAAUCGCUAGUAAUCGCGUAUCAGCACGACGCGGUGAAUACGUUCCCGGGCCUUGUACACACCGCCCGUCACACCACGAAAGCCUGCUGUACUCGAAGUCGCUGAG